CGUGCCCCUCCCCCUUUCUUCUACCUCUUCUCUUUCGUUUCCUCUUCCCAUGACCUACCACAGCCGCCUCCCACAUCUUUCUUUUUCUUCCUUUCCGUUCGCCUGAAGCCACCGCUGCACCCCAAAAACUCGUCAUCCGUUGAACUGAGGUUGGAGCUAAAUAGCUCGUCGUCCGUUCCGAUUCGCGAAGCCGCCGUGCAUUUCAUCUGUGCGUAACUCUUUUGAUCUGCGAUUCUUUGUCGCUCACCAUCAGUGCACCGUGACUCUUCGCUCGCACGUACUGCUCCUUCCAACUGCAAAUCGCAAGCCGUUCUACCUCUGUCUACAAAGCACCGUGACGCGACUCCCUAUCUUUUACCCGCGAGUUGCAAGUUGACCCACGCUCCAAAUUAUUUUGCACGACUUUUCGUUUAGGUUCGAUCACCGAUGCCUCUGUUUUGCUGUGAAUCGUCGAAGUUUUGUUGGUAAAAUUGAAGUUGUGGGUUGUAGUUGUUUCAAAAACUAAUUCAAGUAUUAUGGUUGGAUUGAUUAGUUAAGUUGUUAAUUGAUUUUGGAAGGUGUUGAAAGUAGUGUCGAGUUCUUUGGAUUCACAACCAAAUUGUAGAUUUGUUAGAGUUCGAUUCGCCAAUACUUUGGUUUCCUUAGUUGGAUUUUAGUUUGAUCGAGAAAUUUGGGUAACAUGAAGGUAAGAGGUUUCUACUACCGGACUCUACCAUGGAUUUCAAAUAUGUUGACUGUGUGGAUGUCUCUGAUCUGAGUAUGGGUGUCAUAUAUGAUCUGUAUAUUGAUGCAGAAAUGAUGAUGUAUAUGUAAUAUGUAAUAUGUAAUAUGUAAUAUGUAAUAUGUAAUAUGUAAUAUGUAAUAUGUAGAUGUAGAUGUAGAUGUAGAUGUAGAUGUAGAUGUAGAUGUAGAUGUAGAGGUAGAUGUGAUGAAAAGUAGGUUAUGGCUGUCUAAUAUGUUUUUGUGAACAUUAUGGAAAAUGUCUAAAAUGUGUGAUUAGUAUAUUAAAGUAUGGUUAGAGUAUUUUUGAACUGGAGGAGUAUUAUGUAUAUAGGUUGGUUGCUUGAUGUGUUGUUUUA
Long non-coding RNA from Cucumis sativus (cucumber), 1079 nucleotides. RefSeq lists it as uncharacterized. The transcript has 2 exons. The record is from RefSeq and is a predicted model, not a curated record. NCBI's taxonomy places the organism in Eukaryota, Viridiplantae, Streptophyta, Magnoliopsida, Cucurbitales, Cucurbitaceae.